CCUACGGGACGCAGCAGUGAGGAAUAUUGGUCAAUGGACGUGAGUCUGAACCAGCCAAGUCGCGUGAAGGAUGACGGCUCUAUGGGUUGUAAACUUCUUUUAUAUGGGAAUAAACUGUUCCACGUGUGCCAUUUUGUAUGUACCAUAUGAAUAAGGAUCGGCUAACUCCGUGCCAGCAGCCGCGGUAAUACGGAGGAUCCGAGCGUUAUCCGGAUUUAUUGGGUUUAAAGGGAGCGUAGGCGGAUUGUUAAGUCAGUUGUGAAAGUCUGUGGCUCAACCGUAGAAUUGCCGUUGAAACUGGUAGGCUUGAGUAUAGUAGAGGUAGGCGGAAUGCGUGGUGUAGCGGUGAAAUGCUUAGAUAUCACGAAGAACCCCGAUUGCGAAGGCAGCUUAC
Molecule: ribosomal RNA, 394 nt
Filed under: uncultured bacterium
Lineage: Bacteria
Description: partial 16S ribosomal RNA
Rfam family: Bacterial small subunit ribosomal RNA
Source: RNAcentral